Dermacentor andersoni is the source of this 187-nucleotide small nuclear RNA. RefSeq annotates it as U2 spliceosomal RNA. NCBI's taxonomy places the organism in Eukaryota, Metazoa, Arthropoda, Arachnida, Ixodida, Ixodidae. The record is from RefSeq and is a predicted model, not a curated record.
UUCACUUCGCGCUAGAAGCCAAAAUCAUGUAGUAUCUGUUCCUAAUUGCUUAAUAUCCUAUAUGGACUCUAUCUGGACCCAAGAUAUGAAACCUAUUGUUGCAUGUUGGCGGAAUGCUUGAAGCCUGCUUCACCUCGACCGCGGGUCGGCUCGGUAUUGCACUGUCUUCGGGACGGGUCCACAAUGU